Molecule: ribosomal RNA, 253 nt
Filed under: uncultured bacterium
Lineage: Bacteria
Description: partial 16S ribosomal RNA
Rfam family: Bacterial small subunit ribosomal RNA
Source: RNAcentral
UACGAGGACCCCAAGCGUUAUCCGGAAUUACUGGGCGUAAAGCGUGAGCAUCCGGUUAUGCUAGUCUCAUGUCAAAUCUUAUUGCUCAACGAUAAGACCGCGUGAGAAACGGCAUGGCUAGAGGGGGUGAGAGGCAAGCGGAACGUGCAGUGUAGGGGUGAAAUCCAUUGAUAUUGCACGGAACACCAAAAGCGAAAGCAGCUUGCUAGCGCUCUCCUGACGGUCAAUCACUAAAGCGUGGGGAUCAAAAAGG